This 143-nucleotide small RNA is filed under the name Marinobacter adhaerens. RNAcentral's name for it is "RtT sRNA". It matches the Rfam family "RtT RNA". Rfam says of the family: This family represents a bacterial cis-regulatory element known as RtT RNA. The exact function of RtT is unknown although it is thought that it may be involved in changing the cellular response in relation to amino acid starvation. The record is from RNAcentral. Lineage: Bacteria; Pseudomonadati; Pseudomonadota; Gammaproteobacteria; Pseudomonadales; Marinobacteraceae.
UUGCUUUGUAUAGCUGGGAGGAUUUGAACCGAUAAGAGGUUCGACCGAAGCCCACGCAGUGGGUUGAGGAACGCCGGAGCCACGCGACGGCGACCCCGAAGGGGUGAGGGCCUAAGGCCCGAAUAAUCCUCCCAGCCGCGCCA